This 2177-nucleotide long non-coding RNA is filed under the name Mus musculus (house mouse). Its description in RNAcentral is "long non-coding RNA chr18:35600900-35603077". The record is from RNAcentral. Lineage: Eukaryota; Metazoa; Chordata; Mammalia; Rodentia; Muridae.
UUCUAGGGUCUUGUCGCCACACUGGCAGGUCCUAGCCUUUGGUUAGGAUUAUUCUUGUUUCACUCCUACAGGUAUAAGACCUGUGAUUUUUUUUUUUUUUUUAACUUGUACCUUCCUUUAGAGGCUUAAUUGUUCUAAAUGAUUAUCUGAGCUUGAUUAAAUCAUGUUUAUAAUCCUAGCAUUUAGGAGGUUGCGGCAGGAGAAUUACCCCAAGUUUGAGGCCAUCCUGAGUUACAGUGUGACUUUCUCAAAAAGAGUAAAUACAGGAGGCAGAAGCAGGUGGGGUCUGUGAGUUUGAGACCAGGCUAUUCUACAUAGCAAGUUACAGAUGAGCCAGGGAGACAUUGUGGGCCUCUGUCUAAAAAUAAGUAAACACCAGUGCUGCAUUGCUGAAAUCCCAUCACUUGGGAGGCAGAGGCAGAGGUUCAAGAAGUUCAAGGCUGCUCUUGAUUUACAAGAUUCUGUUUGGUGAAAAAAGACUGAAGUUGUGGCUCAGCUGUUAAGAGUACUUUGCUCUUAACAGUCUUUUUUUUUUUAAAAGAUACUUUUUAGGUUAUGCCUCUGUGUGUGUGUGUGUGUGUGUGUGUGUGUUCGUGCAUGUGCCUGCUACAAAGGUCAAAGUAGGAUCCUGGAACCAGAGCUAACAAUGGUUGUGAGCUACCAUGUGAGUGCUAGGAACUGAAGCACUACAAGUGCUCUCAGCUGCUGAAGCACCUCUUCAGCCCUAGAUACUUAAAAUUAUUACCCAUUUUGCAUGUGAAGAAGGUGAGACUCAGAUUAUAUAACUUAUUACACAACUAAUAAGAAUAAAACAGACUAAUAAUGAUGAAACAGGUUUGUUGUUGUAUAAUCUUUUGAGCCAGGCUCACUAUAUAACCCUGGCUAGCCUGGAUCUGCCUUUGUGUGCUAGGAUCAAAGGCAUACUCCAUCCAGCACUGUCUACCUAGCCUGUAGCUACUUCUGCUUGCUUGCUUGCUCCCCCCCCUUUUUUUUUGAAAAUAAGUCUUGGAUAUAUACAUAGUAUAUACUAUGUAUACUUGACUUUUUAAAAGAUAUUUUAUGUAUAUGUAUAAUUAUCUUAUGUGUAUGACUAUGCUGUCUUCAUCGGAUCCCAUUACAGAUUGUUGUAGUUGCUGGGAAUUGAACUCAGGACCUCUGGAAAAGCAGCCAGUGCUCUUAACUUAUGAGCCAUUUCUCCAGCCCGCACCCUCCCACCCCACUCCCCAUCUCCCACCUAACCUUUUAAAUUCCACAUUCUCCCAUUUCAGUCUCCCCAAAGUACUAAGGUAAUUGGUGUGGUUCACCAUGUCUGGCUCUUAGGACGCUCUUGUAGUUAUAUCCUUGUAGUGUCAAACAUGAUGACAGAAAUUUAAUGCUUCCCCAAAAGGACUAAUGAAAAUAGUUUUCUCUUGUGAAUUUUGUUUUGAUUUGAGACAAGGUCUUAUUGCAUAUCCCAGGCUGGCCUAAAACUUAAUAUGGCCUCAAACUCAGGGCUUUUCUCCCUCAACUCCUUGAGUGCUAGAAUAGGCAUCACCUUGCUUGGUAGAAUAUUUAUUUUAUUUAACACCUGAAGAGACUGGUAGACUAAUACAUAAACUGUGCAGGCGGUUAGCGGGGGCUGGAGCUAUGGCUCAGUGGUUAAGAACACUGACUGCUCUUCUGAAGGUCCUGAGUUCAAAUCCCAGCAACCACAUGGUGGCUCACAACCAUCUGUAAUGGGAUCGGAUGCCCUCUUCUGGUGUGUCUGAAGACAGCUACAGUGUACUCACAUACAUUAAAUGAAUAAAUAAAAAUAAGAUCUGAUGCUCUCUUCUGGUGCAUCUGAAGACAGCAACAGUGUACUUAGGUAUAAUAAUAAAUAAAUCUUUUUUUUAAAAAGUGCAUGGGGGGCGAGGGGCAUAGAGUGCACAUAAAGCUAAGGAGUCACAGAAGAAAGGUUAAUGCCUUUCAAGGCAAAUUAAUGAAACAGAAGAUAAUUCUAUUUGAAUUUUAGUGACAAUUCUUAAGAGAGCUUACUAGUGGAGAAAGACAAUAAAACCAUAUAUUUUAAGUUUUAAUAGAACUAUAAAAGGACACUGCUGGAACAUAGAAUUUCAGGUAGGAACAAAGAGAUCAUAAUCAAGUAACAAUAAGCUCCUAACUUGUAGUGGUUGGCUGAUUUCUAAGCAGUAUUAAUU